RNAcentral lists this transfer RNA (71 nucleotides) under Candidatus Daviesbacteria bacterium. Its description in RNAcentral is "tRNA-Gln". It matches the Rfam family "tRNA". From Rfam's summary of the family: Transfer RNA (tRNA) molecules are approximately 80 nucleotides in length. Lineage: Bacteria; Candidatus Daviesiibacteriota. The record is from RNAcentral.
UGCGGGAUCGUCUAACGGUAGGACGGCGCCCUUUGGAGGCGUCUAUCAUGGUCCGAAUCCAUGUCCCGCAG